Molecule: non-coding RNA, 100 nt
Filed under: Rhodomonas abbreviata
Lineage: Eukaryota; Cryptophyceae; Pyrenomonadales; Pyrenomonadaceae
Source: RNAcentral
UUUUUUUUUUUUCUUUUCUUUUCUUUUCUUAUUCUCUCUUCUUCUUUUCUCUUCGAGGCGGAUUGAUGUGUGGUUUGAUAUAUUGUGGAGGGAGGAAUAA